ACUGNGGAUAUGUCCACAGAAAGCACAGCUGAUACUCAUCAAGCUGUUAAUGGUUCUCAUGAAUUGAGGAAAACCGUAAUGGUACUGUAAAUGUGGAUUUGCAGCACCAAGAUGGUGAUGUAGAUAGGAAAUUGGAUUCUAAGCCUAGUUUCAAAAGGAACUCGUCGAGCAAUAAGAAGGAUGAGUCUCAGGUUUUAGGGAUGAAACAAAAAUACGAGUUGAUUGAUUUGUCACCAAGAGGAGUGGGGCUUAGCUUGUGAAUUCACUGAGGCAACGAUUGAAUAUUCUUCUUAAUCCUGUUCAGGUUUUUGAGCUGAGCUCAACACAAGGACCGGAGGUGCGUCUUUAUUUAUUCAGAAAGGUGCCGCACUUCAGAGUUCUUGUUUGUGGGGGAGAUGGUACUGUUGGUUGGGUUCUGAAUUCCAUAGAAAAGCAAAACUUUGUGUCUCCUCCUCCAGUUGCUAUUCUACCUGUCGGAACAUGGAAUGAUCUGGCUAGAGUUUUGUCAUGGGAAGGUGGUUUGGGCUCAGUGGAGAGACAAGGAGGCCUUUGCACCAUUUUGCACNACAUACAGCAUGUUGCAGUAACCAUUCUUGAUCGUUGGAAGGUAGCAAUUAUAAAUCAACAGGGGAAAGCAGCUCCAAUCGCCUAAGUUUAUGAACAACUAUCUCGGCCUUCAUGUUGAAGAGGGCUGAUGAGGAGCCACUUGGUCAUGCAGCUGCCAUUAUCACUGAUUCACUGGUGGUGUUGAGAAUGCUGAGACCAACCAUGUAAUAAGUGCAGUGCAGAAGCGAGCUCUUCUUCAAGAAAUGGUGCUGAGGCUGACUUAGAAGUUUCCUCUUGCUGCUUGCUGCUUGGAUUAGUAAUUAAAGUUUUGAUUGUAUCUUCCUUUUCUUUCUUCGAGAAAUAUUCUUUUGGGUGACUUGACACUUUGUUUGGAAAUGCGACUCAAGCCUUGUGCUUAGAAAAGAGUAUAGCCGGGCAGCUAUACUUUUUAAAUUUAUUUGAAUAUUUAAAUAGUAUAGCCGAAAGGCUAUACUUUUUAGGAGUAUAGUGUUUAAGUAUA
This is a long non-coding RNA of Prunus dulcis (almond), 1066 nucleotides long. RefSeq lists it as uncharacterized. The record is from RefSeq and is a predicted model, not a curated record. The transcript has 3 exons. NCBI's taxonomy places the organism in Eukaryota, Viridiplantae, Streptophyta, Magnoliopsida, Rosales, Rosaceae.